This 72-nucleotide transfer RNA is filed under the name Hypoxylon rubiginosum. RNAcentral describes it as "tRNA-Glu". It matches the Rfam family "tRNA". From Rfam's summary of the family: Transfer RNA (tRNA) molecules are approximately 80 nucleotides in length. Their secondary structure includes four short double-helical elements and three loops (D, anti-codon, and T loops). Lineage: Eukaryota; Fungi; Ascomycota; Sordariomycetes; Xylariales; Hypoxylaceae. The record is from RNAcentral.
UCUGGUAUAGUGUAACGGUUAACAUACCUCAUUUUCACCGAGGAGCUUGGGGUUCGAUUCCCUGUACCGGAG